This 497-nucleotide ribosomal RNA is filed under the name uncultured bacterium. RNAcentral describes it as "partial 16S ribosomal RNA". It matches the Rfam family "Bacterial small subunit ribosomal RNA", at positions 28 to 507 of the family's 1533-position model. The record is from RNAcentral.
GAUGAACGCUGGCGGCGUGCCUAAUACAUGCAAGUCGAGCGAACAGAUGAGGAGCUUGCUCCUUUGACGUUAGCGGCGGACGGGUGAGUAACACGUGGGUAACCUACCUAUAAGACUGGGAUAACUUCGGGAAACCGGAGCUAAUACCGGAUAAUAUUUCGAACCGCAUGGUUCGAUAGUGAAAGACGGCUUUGCUAUCACUUAUAGAUGGACCCGCGCCGUAUUAGCUAGUUGGUAAGGUAACGGCUUACCAAGGCAACGAUACGUAGCCGACCUGAGAGGGUGAUCGGCCACACUGGAACUGAGACACGGUCCAGACUCCUACGGGAGGCAGCAGUAGGGAAUCUUCCGCAAUGGGCGAAAGCCUGACGGAGCAACGCCGCGUGAGUGAUGAAGGUCUUCGGAUCGUAAAACUCUGUUAUUAGGGAAGAACAAACGUGUAAGUAACUGUGCACGUCUUGACGGUACCUGAUCAGAAAGCCACGGCUAACUACGUG